AUUGAACGCUGGCGGCAUGCUUUACACAUGCAAGUCGAACGGUAACAGGCCUUCGGGUGCUGACGAGUGGCGAACGGGUGAGUAAUGCAUCGGAACGUACCCAGAGGUGGGGGAUAACGCAGCGAAAGCUGUGCUAAUACUGCAUGUGAUCUGAGGAUGACAGCGGGGGACCGAGCAGCAAUGUUUGGCCUCGCGCCUUUGGAGCGGCCGAUGUCGGAUUAGCUAGUUGGUGGGGUAAAGGCCUACCAAGGCGACGAUCCGUAGCUGGUCUGAGAGGACGACCAGCCACACGGGGACUGAGACACGGCCAAGACUCCUAAGGGAGGCAGCAGUGGGGAAUUUUGGACAAUGGGCGCAAGCCUGAUCCAGCAAUGCCGCGUGCGGGAAGAAGGCCUUCGGGUUGUAAACCGCUUUUGGCAGGAACGAAACGGUGUCCGCUAAUACCGGGCGCUAAUGACGGUACCUGCAGAAUAAGCACCGGCUAACUACGUG
This 492-nucleotide ribosomal RNA is filed under the name uncultured bacterium. RNAcentral describes it as "partial 16S ribosomal RNA". It matches the Rfam family "Bacterial small subunit ribosomal RNA", at positions 29 to 507 of the family's 1533-position model. The record is from RNAcentral.